CUCGCGAUAGCUCAGUUGGUAGAGCGGAGGACUGUAGUGGACGAUAAAAGACAUCCUUAGGUCGCUGGUUCAAAUCCGGCUCGCGAGA
Lingula anatina is the source of this 88-nucleotide non-coding RNA. The record is from Rfam. Lineage: Eukaryota; Metazoa; Brachiopoda; Lingulata; Lingulida; Lingulidae.